CCUACGGGAGGCAGCAGUGAGGAAUAUUGGACAAUGGGCGCAAGCCUGAUCCAGCCAUGCCGCGUGCAGGAAGAAGCAUCUAUGGUGUGUAAACUGCUUUUGUACAGGAAGAAACACUCCCUCGUGAGGGAGCUUGACGGUACUGUAAGAAUAAGGACCGGCUAACUCCGUGCCAGCAGCCGCGGUAAUACGGAGGGUCCGAGCGUUAUCCGGAAUCAUUGGGUUUAAAGGGUCCGUAGGCGGUUUAAUAAGUCAGUGGUGAAAUCUGGUCGCUCAACGAUCAAACGGCCAUUGAUACUGUUAGACUUGAAUUAUAAGGAAGUAACUAGAAUAUGUAGUGUAGCGGUGAAAUGCUUAGAUAUUACAUGGAAUACCAAUUGCGAAGGCAGGUUACUACUUAUGGAUUGACGCUGAUGGACGAAAGCGUGGGGAGCGAACAGGAUUAGAUACCCUGGUAGUCCACGCCGUAAACGAUGGAUACUAGCUGUUCGGAGCAAUCUGAGUGGCUAAGCGAAAGUGAUAAGUAUCCCACCUGGGGAGUACGUUGCAAGAAUGAAACUCAAAGGAAUUGACGGNNGAGAGAGCGAGACGACGACGAGGGAGGAGG
RNAcentral lists this ribosomal RNA (607 nucleotides) under uncultured bacterium. RNAcentral's name for it is "bacterial SSU rRNA". It matches the Rfam family "Bacterial small subunit ribosomal RNA", at positions 338 to 948 of the family's 1533-position model. The record is from RNAcentral.